UCAGGCCCUAACACAUGCAAGUCGAACGGCAGCACGGGAGCUUGCUCCUGGUGGCGAGUGGCGAACGGGUGAGUAAUAUAUCGGAACGUAUCCAAUAAUGGGGGAUAACUAGUCGAAAGAUUAGCUAAUACCGCAUACGCCCUGAGGGGGAAAGCUGGGGAUCUUCGGACCUAGCGUUAAUGGAGCGGCCGAUAUCUGAUUAGCUAGUAGGUGAGGUAAAGGCUCACCUAGGCAUCGAUCAGUAGCUGGUCUGAGAGGACGACCAGCCACACUGGAACUGAGACACGGUCCAGACCCCUACGGGAGGCAGCAGUGGGGAAUUUUGGACAAUGGGCGCAAGCCUGAUCCAGCCAUUCCGCGUGAGUGAAGAAGGCCUUCGGGUUGUAAAGCUCUUUCGCAAGGGAAGAAAACUUAACCUCUAACAUAGGUUGAGG
Molecule: ribosomal RNA, 434 nt
Filed under: uncultured bacterium
Lineage: Bacteria
Description: bacterial SSU rRNA
Rfam family: Bacterial small subunit ribosomal RNA
Source: RNAcentral